Molecule: ribosomal RNA, 498 nt
Filed under: uncultured bacterium
Lineage: Bacteria
Description: bacterial SSU rRNA
Rfam family: Bacterial small subunit ribosomal RNA
Source: RNAcentral
UGAACGCUGGCGGCGUGCCUAACACAUGCAAGUCGAACGGAGUGUAGACGCUGUGCGAAGAAGUGCUUGCACGGAUCAAACUGUUACACUUAGUGGCGGACGGGUGAGUAACGCGUGGAAAACCUGCCUCAUACAGGGGGAUAACAGGAAGAAAUUCCUGCUAAUACCGCAUGAGCGCACACUGUCGCAUGGCAGAGUGUGAAAAGAUUUAUCGGUAUGAGAUGGUUCCGCGUCUGAUUAGCCAGUUGGCGGGGUAACGGCCCACCAAAGCGACGAUCAGUAGCCGGCCUGAGAGGGCGGACGGCCACAUUGGGACUGAGACACGGCCCAGACUCCUACGGGAGGCAGCAGUGGGGGAUAUUGCACAAUGGAGGCAACUCUGAUGCAAGCGACGCCGCGUGGGUGAAGAAGUUAUUCGUAAUGUAAAGCCCUAUCAGCAGGGAAGAUAAUGACGGUACCUGACUAAGAAGCCCCGGCUAACUACGUGCCAGCAGCAGC